CAGAGCCACGGGUUGGGCAAGAGUGCGGAGGAGACACACUGGUUACCUCUCAACUACUCUCAUCCAAAGGGCUCUAAAGUACUGUGUUCGGCAGGGGUGUAACUGGUCCUUGUCUUGCAGGCCAGCCUGAGGCCCUCACAUCACCUCUGUCCCACCUGCAGGGCUGACCCAAGCAGCAGAUGGGAGGGAGUGACUCACCACCCCACAGCCAAGUCACUGAAUCAUAGCAUUUAGAAGCAGAGGCGUGCCAUGAGACCAACUCUACGCUUCUCUACAUUUGUUCCUUCCUAGAAAAAGCGGGUUGGAGGUGUUCCCAGGAAAAUUCAGCCCCAGCUCAAAGCAAUAAAAAAUAUGUCUCUGA
Long non-coding RNA from Pseudopipra pipra, 361 nucleotides. RefSeq lists it as uncharacterized. The record is from RefSeq and is a predicted model, not a curated record. The transcript has 2 exons. Lineage: Eukaryota; Metazoa; Chordata; Aves; Passeriformes; Pipridae.